GCAGAUUAAGUGAGAAACUUUUAUUUUGAAAUCAUUCCUCUCGUGCGUUUACCGUAAUGUCUCAUUUAUGUGCACACAGAAAAAAAACGGGGGGCUAGUUUGACCGUCUUUUUCGGAGUGGCGGCUGGCUUGACCGCAGUGCAGGCUGAAACCAGUCUAUCGAGCUGAAAGAAAACGCAGCUGAGGAGAUAUGAGACUGCAGACAAGAGCCAUCGACCAUCGUUCCAGGAAACUUCCACCUAAACAGAUGUUGAGGCCCAGAUUUCCCUGCCAAGCACUCCAAGGCUCAUCAUGCUCUGAGAGUCCAUUCUGGGGGCAAAAAAUGGAUGCUUUUCAUCGAGGGCAGAGUUCUCCUCCAAUUGAGUGACCGUUGUGAUUUCACUUCUGCUCUAGCCAUGUAUGAUGCAGCCACUACAUUGGAAUUUAUCCAGAGGGUAGAGUCCAGCCCAGGAAGUCAACUAGUUCAGGUCCAGUUUUAAAAGAAUAAUAGUUCUGAAAAAAAAAACGUCUUGGAGAAAAACAAUAUUCAGGUUUGAAAUCCUGCUGUAAAUGUAAAUCAUUUAAUUUUUAUGCAUUUGUAAUUUACCAGAAACAUUUUAAUACAUAUUGAUUGUUUUGUGUGUUCAGAAAAGUGUUUUUGUAUGAAGUGUUGAAAUUAAAUGAAAUAUUCACAGAAAAAUGUUAACAUAUUAAAAAAAAUUUAUGUGUUCAAAAUAGUUUUGAGAUGUUCACAGAAAAAAUUUAACAUGUUGAAAAAAAUGUAUGCUAUGCUAUUUUUAAUUU
This is a non-coding RNA of Paramisgurnus dabryanus, 783 nucleotides long. Lineage: Eukaryota; Metazoa; Chordata; Actinopteri; Cypriniformes; Cobitidae. The record is from RefSeq and is a predicted model, not a curated record.